This 454-nucleotide ribosomal RNA is filed under the name uncultured bacterium. Its description in RNAcentral is "partial 16S ribosomal RNA". It matches the Rfam family "Bacterial small subunit ribosomal RNA", at positions 341 to 792 of the family's 1533-position model. The record is from RNAcentral.
ACGGGAGGCAGCAGUGAGGAAUAUUGGUCAAUGGGCGAGAGCCUGAACCAGCCAAGUAGCGUGAAGGAUGACUGCCCUAUGGGUUGUAAACUUCUUUUGUUCGGGAAUAAAGGAGCCUACGCGUAGGCUUUUGCAUGUACCGUUCGAAUAAGCAUCGGCUAAUUCCGUGCCAGCAGCCGCGGUAAUACGGAAGAUGCGAGCGUUAUCCGGAUUUAUUGGGUUUAAAGGGUGCGCAGGCGGCACGUUAAGUCAGCGGUGAAAUGUCGGGGCUCAACCCGGGCACUGCCGUUGAAACUGGCGAGCUUGAGUACGGAUGAAGUUGGCGGAAUGUGAUGUGUAGCGGUGAAAUGCUUAGAUAUGUCACAGAACACCGAUUGCGAAGGCAGCUGACUAAUCCGCAACUGACGCUCAGGCACGAAAGCGUGGGGAUCGAACAGGAUUAGAUACCCUGGUA